RNAcentral lists this microRNA precursor (78 nucleotides) under Schistosoma margrebowiei. RNAcentral describes it as "mir-3492 microRNA precursor family". It matches the Rfam family "mir-3492 microRNA precursor family". The record is from Rfam by way of RNAcentral. Lineage: Eukaryota; Metazoa; Platyhelminthes; Trematoda; Strigeidida; Schistosomatidae.
AGCUUUCCGAGUCCGUGCAGAGAUUUCAUCAAACACCAAUCCCUUAUUGCUGAUCAGACUUCCAAGAUAAGUGAAGCU